GACGAACGCUGGCGGCGUGCUUAACACAUGCAAGUCGAACGGAAAGGCCUCUUUCGGGGGGUACUCGAGUGGCGAACGGGUGAGUAACACGUGAGUAACCUGCCCUUGACUUUGGGAUAACUUCAGGAAACUGGGGCUAAUACCGGAUAGGAGCUCCUGCUGCAUGGUGGGGGUUGGAAAGUUUCGGCGGUUGGGGAUGGACUGGCGGCGUAUCAGCUUGUUGGUGGGGUAGUGGCUUACCAAGGCUUUGACGGGUAGCCGGCCUGAGAGAGUGACCGGCCGCAUUGGGACUUAGGGACGGCCCAGACUCCUACGGGAGGCCGCAGUGGGGAAUAUUGCACAAGGGAUGGAAGCCUGAUGCAGCAGCGCCGUGGGCGGGAUGACGGCCUUCGGGUUGUAGAACGCUUUCGCGCAUAACGAAGCUUUGUGUGACGGUAGUGGGUAAAGAAGCACCGGCUAACUACGUG
This 467-nucleotide ribosomal RNA is filed under the name uncultured bacterium. RNAcentral's name for it is "partial 16S ribosomal RNA". It matches the Rfam family "Bacterial small subunit ribosomal RNA", at positions 28 to 507 of the family's 1533-position model. The record is from RNAcentral.